Molecule: ribosomal RNA, 489 nt
Filed under: uncultured bacterium
Lineage: Bacteria
Description: bacterial SSU rRNA
Rfam family: Bacterial small subunit ribosomal RNA
Source: RNAcentral
UCAGAGCGAACGUUAGCGGCAGGCUUAACACAUGCAAGUCGAGCGACAAAGGGGCUUCGGCCCUGAGUAGAGCGGCGGACGGGUGCGUAACACGUGGAUAAUCUGCCUCGUGGCGGGGGAUAACAGUCCGAAAGGACUGCUAAUACCGCAUGUCAGGUCGGAAACCCUGGUUUCUGACGAAAAAGAGGGCGCCCGCAAGGGGCUCUCACCACGAGAUGAGUCCGCGGCCCAUCAGCUAGUUGGCGGUGUAAUAGACCACCAAGGCUAAGACGGGUAGCUGGUCUGAGAGGAUGACCAGCCACACUGGGACUGAGACACGGCCCAGACUCCUACGGGAGGCAGCAGUGGGGAAUAUUGGACAAUGGGCAACCCUGAUCCAGCCAUGCCGCGUGUGUGAAGAAGGCCUUCGGGUUGUAAAGCACUUUAAGCGGGGAGGAAGGCCUGAUGGCUAAUAUCCAUCGGGAUUGACGUUACCCGCAGAAUAAGCAC